Long non-coding RNA from Sorghum bicolor (sorghum), 671 nucleotides. RefSeq lists it as uncharacterized. Lineage: Eukaryota; Viridiplantae; Streptophyta; Magnoliopsida; Poales; Poaceae. The record is from RefSeq and is a predicted model, not a curated record. The transcript is spliced from 3 exons.
UGAUUUUUUUAAGAUUUUCAGUAUUUUUUUAUUAAUUGGCGCCAUGUGAAGCUAGAGCCUCGGAAUAAAAAAAUCGAUCUGCUCCUACGUGGACCUGGGCGUCACCAUUAUUUUCGGGCGAAGCUGCAAUUGAAUUGGACCACGUGCGGUUUGUGAGCCCGUCGGUGUCGUUUGUCUCCACUGUGUAGUGAUGUUUCCAAGAGUAGACGACUGUCGUGCUCGCUCAUCAGCCACACCUCGCUCUCGCUGGAUUUGUAUUUUUUGUUUUUUCCAUCAAUGCGACACUGUGACCUGUGGCCGGAUGUGGAAAUGUCACCUGCAUCUAUUGAAUACUCCUCCCGUACUCAAAAAUAAAGUCAUUUUGAAUAACGGAGAACCUACUGGCUCUGCCAAUGGGCAAGGCUGCAGCGGUGUGAUGUUCAACGAGACCAGCUGAUCCUUGCAGGGCAGCAUCUAGAGACUCAGCCUUGCAUUUUUUUGCUUUCAAUGGAUGGUUGUCAAAUAGGUCUAUUGGUCUUCUUUAGUCAAAAAAACUUUAUUUUGUCCUUUUUUGUGGGUCGCUGUAAGAUGUUUCUUUUACAGCUCGUGUGUUGGCCUAUGGGCCGAACCUUGUAAUAAUUGAAGCCGGGUAUGAACUAUCCUUUAUCUAAAAAAAAAUUAUCGAAAAGUGA